Molecule: small RNA, 823 nt
Filed under: Histoplasma capsulatum
Lineage: Eukaryota; Fungi; Ascomycota; Eurotiomycetes; Onygenales; Ajellomycetaceae
Also listed under: 1 other name
Description: hypothetical RNA
Source: RNAcentral
CACGUGCUCUCGCGUACCUACGAAACGCCCCUCUCCUCGCGAUCCCGCUCCGCGCUCGCGUAGUCUCUAACGAUUCCUCCGCGUAACCCCUAACAUUCUUCCGCUCCGCGCUCCACUGCAGCGCGACCCCCGAUAUUCUUCCGUCCCGAUCCUCCUUCUAUAAGAACCCCCUCGUACGACCCCUUCUUCUGAUCUUCUUUCUCUUUCUUUCCUUAAUCGAUUCGUAAACUGUUACCAGGAUAGUGUCAAGUCCGUUGAUAUUGCCGUUGGAACGGAUCGUACGAACUGCGCAGGCGGUACGAACGGUUUAAUCUGCAACAUCGGUAACAUCUGCUUAAUCGGUGGCACGCCCGUCACAUCAACUGUAUAUCUUUCAUUUCUCUGUCAUCUUUUUCAGUACUGAUAUAUAAAGUUUACUAUAUUCAACUCAGUAUAGCUGUUCAUCAGAGUGUCUACAUCUCUGUUUACAAACUCUGUAUAUCUCUAUAUAUACUUUAUAGAUCUGUGAAUCUUUAAUAUAUUAUUCAAAAUCUGAUCAACUGAAUGAGAAUGAGAGUUCUUCUAUCUGCUUUACUAUGUAUAAUACAGAUUAAUAAAAGCUGUUUGAUACUGUUUGAUCAGAUUCUCUUCUAUUAUCUGUACAAUCUCUUCUUUCUCAGUAUUUGUAUACUUUUUUUUGAGAUGAUCUUCUCUAAGUGAAUGAUUGAGAACUUUCUUACUAAAGAAUCAGAUUGUCUUCUGCUCAGAGAUAAUCUGAUUAUCUAAAAACUUUUUUUCAUUAUACUAUUUCUAUUGUAUGAAUAGUGAAGAUUGAGCAGCAGUG